Phacochoerus africanus (Common warthog) is the source of this 1402-nucleotide long non-coding RNA. RefSeq lists it as uncharacterized. The transcript has 2 exons. Lineage: Eukaryota; Metazoa; Chordata; Mammalia; Artiodactyla; Suidae. The record is from RefSeq and is a predicted model, not a curated record.
GAUUUGUUUCUGCUGAGCCACGAUGGGAAUUCCAAAAUAGUUUUUUUCAAGCACAACCACGGAAGACUGGCAAGCUGAGGAUGUAAACAGCACGUUCCCGUUCUCCCAGCUCUUGGAGGGUGGGGGUCUCUGUUUUCUCGCCUUCCUGUCCCUAGUGCCUACAAAAAAGCCUAGCCAGGCUCUCAGGAAAUACUUCCCAAACAUAAUACCUGCAACAGUGUUACUGACUUAACCAAAAUUUACAAGAUAACUAUGUUGGGAAGAUGGAGUCAGAGGAAGCAAAGAGGUUUUGGAAGAAAGCUAAAUUCUCAUCUACCGGACUGUGGGAAGCUGACAGAUGGUUUACAAGUGACAGAUCAAGAAACAACUGGGUCCACUAUGUGCCAGGCAUUGUACUAGGUGCUGACUGCAGUGAAAGAGCAAACUGGGAUCCUGCCCUCGUGGUGCAAAGAAUCUGGAAAAGCAGGUAGGUACAGAAUUGAUAAGCAAAUCCACAAGUACAGAUGGUGACGAGUGCUGAGAAGGAAAAGAGAAGACUGAAAUGACAGAGAAAAACAUAGGUGGACCUACUGAAAGAGGGGAGGUCAGGGAGGCCUCUCUGAAGAGGUCAGACCUCCAGAAUAAGAAGAAGCCAGCUGUGCAGAGUGGAGAAACGAAACUUUGUCAUGCCACGUGGGGCGGCGGCUCGCCCUCUCCAGCAUCUCCCUCCCGCCUCCAAAGCACUCCAGUACCUGGACUAUAUACAGGCAGGGACAGUACUGGGCUCCUCCUCCAAUGCUGAUCCCAAUCAGGUUCUGAGCAUCCUUCUGCAAGGUCACCUUCCCAGGCACAGUAGGGAUUCCGCUAGAGAAAAGCACGUGAGGCUGAGUCUCCUAGAAGAAGGAUGACUGGAGGGGAUGGGGCCAGGGCCAGGCCCUCCAAAACCCUCCAGAGUCAGCCUUUUCUCUUUCUCAAUUGGCCAAUUGACAGCAUUUGGUUGUUGGAACGUUGUAGCGCUCUUGGAGUCAUGUCGAUGGGGCAUCAAAUCCCAAUUCUGCCAUCUAUCAGCUGUGGAACUUGGGUAGGUAAGUCACCCUCUCUGCAUCUCAGUUUCCUCACCCACAAAACAGUAUCGAUAAAAAACGGCCACAUUGUCAAAGUUCCUGUAAGAAAGAACCUUCCAUAGGCACUUAACACCCACCCAGGCCAGAGAAGCCACUCCACAAAAAUAGGUUCCUUCCUUCUCCUUCAUUCUCCCUUUGAGAUUUUCACUUGGACUCUGUCCUCAUCACCCUCUCAGGCACAUAUGGACUAUUACGGCCGCCUCCUCCAGGAAGCCUUCUCCUACUAAACAAUCCAUCACCCACCUCUCAAUUGCUGUACUCAAUUACCUCUGUUUUCACUAUAAAUUAGCACUUCUUUA